RNA transcript from Betta splendens (Siamese fighting fish), 7268 nucleotides. It is a transcript of the gene named NACHT, LRR and PYD domains-containing protein 12-like, with no coding region annotated. NCBI's taxonomy places the organism in Eukaryota, Metazoa, Chordata, Actinopteri, Anabantiformes, Osphronemidae. The transcript has 20 exons. The record is from RefSeq and is a predicted model, not a curated record.
UGAAUACAUUGGUAAAAUGGUAACAAAUACUAAGGAUAUAACACCUGAAAUGCUCAAUAACAUGCUGAUAUCGGCAUAAAUAUACAUGAAGGUCAUAUCAAGAAAUUUUACUGGACCCUAUCAAGGCAGAAAUGUUUAGGACAUUUGAAAAUGAACAGUGCAACAAAAUGAAAUCAGGAAUAUCACCACCAUGUCUGCUCCUUGAUGACGCUGUCCAGGAAGUCCCAGUUUGGUUUAGACCAGGGGUGUCCAAACUAUGGUCCGCAGCAAAUUCUGAAAAUAUAAUUGAAUAUGGCCCGCACGUGGCGCUUGAGCUCAACUCUGUUGCACUUCUCAGUUUCAACGCUAGAUGGAGCCAGUCACAGAAGAGGUGCUUCUCUAUUAAACAAAAUUAAGCAAAGAAAAAUAUUAUCCACGAGUCACCAGAAAUGGCAGCACAGAAGAAACGCAAGACAGCAAGUGAGUGUAGAAGAUUUCAAACACUGUGGGAAAAUGAAUAUUUCUUUAAAGAAAUCAACGGAAGGUGUGUCUGUUUGCUUUGCAAUGACGGUCCGUCGACACUAUGAGACCAAGCAUCAGAGCUACGCAUUGUACACAGGUGCCGAACGAGCACAGAAAUUCAAGCAAACGGCAGCUAGCCUGCUAGCGUGUUCUUCGUGCUAACAAAAUACAGGAAAACAGCAGCAAGCUAGGAAGUCGCACAACUUAUUGCCCAGCAUGGCAACCGUUCACCUCAGACGGUGGUUUCAUGAAGCAGUGCCUCAUCAAAGUCACAGAAGUAAUGUGCCCGGAAAAAGUGCAGGAUUCAACAACGUGAGCUUUUGCAGAAACACAGUGGUGCGGAGAGUCGAGGCCUUGUCAUCUAAGAUGAAACUCCAGCUGAGAGAAAGCUUGUGCUCUGAUUUUUACUCGAUAGCGCGCGAUGAGAGCACAGACACCGCACAGUUUUUAAGUUUUUGGCGGGGAGUCGAUGAUAUUUUUUGCUGUACGGAGGAGCUGCUUGAUAUGAUGAGCCUAAAAGGCACAACGACGGGUGGAACUGUUUUUGACGCUGUGUCAGAGGCAGUUGAAAGGAUGGAGCUUAAAUGGCUGCUCUGUGGAGGAACAACGGAUGGAGCUCCGCCAUGACGGGAGAGCGCAAAGGAAUGGCGUCCAUGGUGUGCGUCACGAAGCAGACUGAGAUCCAGAAUGACUGAUAGCCAUCUCUGUGUCUAAACCACCAAACUUUCUCCUGACAUCCCAGCCAUCCUUCAAUCCAAAGGACAGCAUCACUGCUCCCACUGAGAGCAAUGUUCUUCACAUUAUAGAAUAUGAGUGUUUGUGUGUGGGAAGAGGAUGAAGCAGAGUCUCCAGGAUGCAUAUCUGCAUACAGUGCUGAACCUGGAACCUCUGACACAAAUUGCCUGCCUGAUCACCGUUCUGCCAGGUUAACCUCGUCGUCUUCUGGAUCAGAGGAGGUUCUGGAUGACUUGGACCUAUACAAUUACAACACAUCAAAGGAGGGACGAUGGAGACCGAUCCCAGCUGUGAGGAACUGCAGAAAGUUUAAAGAGAAGAGCAGUCGUGUUCCUGUGGAGGAGCAGCCGUCCCGCUGGGCUGUGGAUCCCGUCGAUAUCAAAUGGGGACACUGGUUUAGACCAACACUGUCCAGCACCAUCCAAAUAGAUGCUGCUCUGCAGGAGGCUUUAGAUGAACAUAAGCUCAGUCUGAGGAGCAGAAGUAAACGUGUGACUGAAGGAGGUCAAACAGGAAGUGGAGUCCUCCUCACCAGCAUCUACACUGAGCUCUACAUCACAGAGGGACAGAGUGAAGAGGUGAACACCCAACAUGAGGUGAGGCAGCUGGAGACAGCUUCCAAGAAGAAGACCCUCCAUGAGGCUCCCAUCAAGGUCCACAACAUCUUUAAAGCCUCUUUUGCCACACAUGGACCCAUCAGACUGGUUCUGACCAACGGCAUCGCUGGUGUUGGAAAAACCUUCACGGUGAAGAAGUUCACUCUGGACUGGGCCGAGGGCCGAGAAAACCCAGACGUCAGUGUUCUGGUUCUGCUGUCGUUCAGGGAACUGAACCUGAUCAGAGAUCAGCAGCACAGUCUUCUCACGCUGCUCCAUGUUUUCCAUCCAACGCUCCAGAAGGUCCCAGCAGAGCAGCUCGCUGUCCUGAAGCUUCUGUUCAUCUUUGACGGCCUGGAUGAAAGCAGACUCUCACUGGACUUCAGCCACAGGGAGCUGGUGUCUGACGUCACACACACGUCAUCUGUCAACGUGCUGCUGACCAACCUCAUCCAGGGGAACCUGCUUCCCUCGGCUCUAGUCUGGAUCACUUCCCGACCUGCAGCGGCCCAUCAGAUUCCUCCUGCGUGUGUGGACAGGGUCACAGAAGUACGAGGCUUCACCGACGCCCAGAAGGACGAGUACUUCGGGAGGAGAUACAGGCGCAAGAAGCUGUCCAGCAGAAUCAUCUCACACGUCAAGACGUCCAGGAGCCUCCACAUCAUGUGUCAGAUCCCAGUGUUCUGCUGGAUCACUGCUACGGUUCUGGAGCACAUGUUGACUGCAAGGCAUAGAGGAGAGCUGCCCAAGACCCUGACACACCUGUACUCACACUUCCUGCUGGUCCUGACCAAGAGGAAGAGGAACAAGUAUCAUGAGGGACAUGAGACCAGUCCACAGGAGCUGACGGAGGCUGACAGGGAAGUUUUCCUGAAGCUGGGGAGGCUGGCGUUCAAACAUCUGGAGAAAGGAACCAUCAUGUUCUACCAAGAAGACCUGGAGCAGUGUGGUCUAGACGUCACAGAGGCCUUGGUUCACUCAGAAGUCUGUACUCAGAUCUUCAGGAGAGAGAGUGUGAUCCUCCAGAAAACAGUCUACUGCUUUGUUCAUCUGAGCGUUCAGGAGUUUCUGGCUGCUGUUUACAUGAUGCACUGUUACACCAACAGGAAGAUGAAGGAUGUGGAGGAGUUUCUGGAUGAAGGCUACAAUAACACAAGGUUAGAUCACCUCUUGUAUAAAACCAUGUAUAGAUCCUUCCACAGUCCAAAUGGCCACCUGGACCUGUUUGUUUGUUUCCUUCAUGGCCUCUGUCUGGAGUCCAACCAGAGAAUCUUAGGAGGUUUGCUGGGUCACACAGAGACCAGUCCAGAAACCACCCAGAGAAUCAUCAACAACCUGAAGGAGAUGAACAGUGAUAGAAUUUCUCCAGACAGAAGCAUCAACAUCUUCCACUGUCUGAUGGAGAUGAACGACCACUUAAUCCAUCAGCAGAUGCAAGAGUUCCUGAAGUCAGAGAACAGAUCAGAGGAACUGUCCUUGUUCCAGUGCUCAGCUCUGGCCUACAUGCUGCAGAUGUCAGAGGAGGUUCUGGAUGAGCUGGACCUGUGGAAAUACAACACAUCACCGGAGGGACGACAGAGACUGAUCCCAGCUGUGAGGAACUGCAGAAAGGCUCAAUUUUCUAGGUGUGGACUCACAAGACAUCACUGUGAAGUUGUGGCCUCAGCUCUGAAGUCCAACCCGUCACAUCUGUUAAAACUGGACCUGAGUGACAACUGGUUCCUGCAGGACUCAGGAGUGAAGGUUCUGUCUACUGGUUUGGGGAGUCCUCACUGUCGACUGUGGACUCUGAGACUGAUAAGCUGUAGUUUGUCACGGAUCAGCUGUGAUUCUUUGGCCUCAGCUCUGAAGUCCAACCCUUCACAUCUGACACAACUGGACCUGAGCUACAACGGCCUGCAGGAUUCAGGAGUGAAGCAUCUGUGUGGUUUUCUGGAGAAUCGUCAUUGUCGACUGGAGACUCUGAGAUUAAUUGGCUGCUGUUUGUCAGAUAUCAGCUGUGAUUCUCUGGCCUCAGCUCUGAAGUCCAACCCGUCACAUCUAAUUGAACUGGACCUGAGCAGGAACAACCUGCAGGAUUCAGGAGUGAAGCAUCUCUGUGGUUUUCUCUCUGUGGAGAGUCAUCGCUGUCAACUGAAAACUCUGAGAUCACGUCCUGUCUGCGCUAUGGAUUUGGGUCCUUCCCCAUGUGAUCGUGACACAUUGCAGCUACCUAACCCAGUUCCAGCUCCACCGGAAUCUUCAUGUCUUCGUCCACGGGCCUGGGAUUCAUGCCUGCUUCCUGCCCCAGCCCCGCCGCAGCAGCCAGCUUCCACCUAUGUUGCUGUCCAGGCAACCCAAACUCCAGCUAAGCCAUUUCAAGCCCAAGCUCCAGAUUCGGUCCUGUCCAGUCCAGCCCUUCUCGACACUGAAGAGAAGGCCAGGGAUGAAAUCAACUCCAGAUUCUGCAGUUCGUCAGAGAUCAGCUAUGAUUCUCUGGACCUGAGUGAGAUCUACAGCCUGCAGGAUUCAGGAGUGACGCAUCUGUGUAGUUUUCUGGAGAGUCGUCACUGUCGACUGGAGACUCUGAGAUUAAUUGACUGCAGUUUGUCAGAGAUCAGCUGUGAUUCUCUGGCCUCAGCUCUAAAGUCUAACCCUUCACAUCUAAUUGAACUGGACUUGAGCAGCAACAAGCUGCAGGAUUCAGCAGUGAAGCAUCUGUGUGGUUUUCUGGAGAGUCGUCUCUGUCGACUAAAGACUCUGAGAUUGAAGUCUUGCAGCUUGACGGAGAAGAGCUGUGAAUAUCUGGCCUCAGUACUGAUGUCUAGCCCCCUUCUCAAAGAACUGGAUCUGAGUUUUAAUUGGCUACAGGGUGUGGGAAUAAACCUGUUGUCUGAUGUUCUGAAUAGACCCGACUGUAAACUGACAAUUCUGAGAGUGGACAGUGGAAGAAACCUCAUUCUUCCUAUGGCAAGACCUGAAGCACCUCUUACUCUGUCUCAUCUGACACUGGGUCCAAGUGAAACAAACACAGAGCCUCAUUUGUCAAAGAACACAGAUGUGGUGAAGACAUCAACAAAUUUUAUACCUGAAGUUUUGAUGAUUGACUCUGAAGAAACUUCAUACAGGUUCAGCGUCCAGGGUCCAGGGACGUACCAGUGUGCUGUCACCCGGCUGGUGUUUAACAUGACUCAGCAGGGGCAGCUGUCAUACAGGAUCAUUCAGUGGGACGAGAGCCUCCUGCAGUCAGCUGGAAAGACACCUGCAGGUCCACUUUAUAGCAUCCAGUGCUCUGAGGAUGCUGUGUCUCAGCUGCACCUCCCUCACUGUGAAACACAACCUGAGCUCAUCACUGGGGGCCUGUCUGUUGCCCACUUUACUGAUGAUGGAAUGACUGCAGGUACUGUGUCUGCUGUUGUAGGAAGUGCUGUGACUAGUAUGAAGAAAACAUGUAGUGUCAGGAACUGUCAGGAAGCGAGGUUGCUGCAGGACACACAUGCACAGCCGGAGACAGGGCGAGCUUGGAUGUCAGUUUAUUGAGAAAUACUUCACAAAACUGCAGGCAAAGAUCAAUGUCAGACAGGCAACGGUCGGCAAUGGGAGGUCCAGAACACAGGCAGAAGUACCGACAGGGAACAAGUAAAGGCAGGUAAAUAAGAUAACAAAACUGGAUCUUACGCGGAAUUAAACAGAGGAUGAAACGCUGGACUGAGGUGAUUACAUGCUAUGAUCUGGCAGAGAACAGAGGUAUGAGCUGGGAACUACUGUAAAUACUGUCUGUCACGGUCUGGACUUUUGUGUGUGUGUGUGUGUGUGUGUGUGUGUGUGUGUGUGUGUGUGUGUGUGUGUGUGUGUGUGUGUGUGUGUGUGUGUGUGUGUGUGUGUUUUCCUGUGUUUAUUUUGACAUUUCCUGCUUUGUUUCUACUGGUUUUAGUUAUUGUUUAGUUUAGUUUAGAAAUAAGUUUAGUACUUAGUAGCCAUCCCAACUCCAGGAGAGUCGAGGCGGCUGGCGAUGGAACAGGGUCCAUCCAGCGGCCCAUAGGGAACCGUGACGUCCCCCAGGCGGACGCCAAUCCGGGACACAACGCAUCGAGGAGGUUGCCGACGAAGAAGGCAGCGCCAACCCUGUGGCAGGAGGGCCUGGCCACCAGCCCGGCAGACGACACCAUCAUAGGACUCUGCCAGGCCGAUGAGAUGCCAGAAACAAAUUCAGAGACGUGCGACAAUCCAGUGACAAGGACAGACGUGGGACCGGAACCAGAGACUGGGAUCGACGUAGAGCCAGAACCAGAGAUGAAGACAGAUGUGGAACCGGAGCCAGAGUCGCACCCAGGCUUGAUGCCAUAACCAGAGACGAGGACAGAUGUGGAGCCGGAACCAAAGCCAAAGACACGAGCCAGAGACAAAGACAGACGAGACCCCAAAGCCAGAACCAGAGAAAAAACCCAGAUGUGAAGCCAGAACCAGAGACGAGGACAGAUGUGGAGCCGGAACCAAAGACACGAGCCAGAGACGAACCCAGAUGUGGAGCCAGAGCGGAUGCGGUCCUCGCUGAACCAUCAAGAACUGAAGCAGACGCAGUCAACACCACACCACUAGGAACUGAAGCAGACGCGGUAGAUUGCGGGCCGCCAGGAGCUGAAGCGGAUGCGGUCGGUGCAAGACCACCAAGAACUGAGGUGACAUUUAUUGAGUUUACAGGAACCGAGGGUGGAGCAGUCAUCUCUGGACAGCUGGAAACGGAAGUCAGCGUGGCCUCCCUUGGCCCACCAGGGACGAAAGCAAACGUGCUCCUCCGAGAACCAUCGGCACCUCCAGGGAAGACACCUGUGCACAGAAGAGCUGAAGGCACCAGGCCCCGGACCGGGGACAGCCGACGGGGACUGAGGCAGGGAUGGCCUCUUCACGGCCGACAGGGACUGAGGUGGGAACCGGGGCCUGGCUUGGCUGUGCGACAGCAAAGCUCGACGGGGCAAAGCCGGGCUUGAAUGGACCGGAGCUGUGCUUGGCCGGGCAGUAACCAAGGCCAACCAAGUAUGACUGAAGCGAGACUGGAGCUUGAGCGGGACGUGGUUUCCAACCUCAAAAAGGUCCUAAAACAAAACUAGGCUCACGCAAAAUGGGGCGCUGGCUGGGUCCCGGUUUGGCCAGAUCGUCAGGAAGCAAGCGUGACGCAGGACCCACAUGGCUUGUAUGUCAGUUUAUUGAGGUCCAGAACACAGGCGAAGUACCGACAGGGAUCAAGCAAAGGCAGAUAAAUAUGAUUUGAACUGGAUCUUACGGGGACAGAGGACGAAACGCUGGACUGAGGUGAUUACACGCUACAAUCUGGCAGAGAACUGAGGUUAAAAAGCAGCAUGAGGAUGCUGAACACAUUGUUACACCUUCUUCCUGUCUCCUCAGUAAAGGUCAAACCUACAGUCUGCACUGUCCUGAGGCCUCCAGAGUCCAACCUGC